RNAcentral lists this ribosomal RNA (253 nucleotides) under uncultured bacterium. RNAcentral's name for it is "partial 16S ribosomal RNA". It matches the Rfam family "Bacterial small subunit ribosomal RNA", at positions 524 to 776 of the family's 1533-position model. The record is from RNAcentral.
UUCGGAGGGGGCUAGCGUUGUUCGGAAUUACUGGGCGUAAAGCGCACGUAGGCGGCUUUGUAAGUUAGAGGUGAAAGCCCGGGGCUCAACUCCGGAACUGCCUUUAAGACUGCAUCGCUAGAAUUGUGGAGAGGUGAGUGGAAUUCCGAGUGUAGAGGUGAAAUUCGUAGAUAUUCGGAAGAACACCAGUGGCGAAGGCGACUCACUGGACACAUAUUGACGCUGAGGUGCGAAAGCGUGGGGAGCAAACAGG